RNAcentral lists this ribosomal RNA (497 nucleotides) under uncultured bacterium. RNAcentral's name for it is "partial 16S ribosomal RNA". It matches the Rfam family "Bacterial small subunit ribosomal RNA", at positions 28 to 507 of the family's 1533-position model. The record is from RNAcentral.
GACGAACGCUGGCGGCGUGCCUAAUACAUGCAAGUAGAACGCUGAAGAGAGGAGCUUGCUCUUCUUGGAUGAGUUGCGAACGGGUGAGUAACGCGUAGGUAACCUGCCUGGUAGCGGGGGAUAACUAUUGGAAACGAUAGCUAAUACCGCAUAAAAUUGAUUAUUGCAUGAUAAUUAAUUGAAAGAUGCAACUGCAUCACUACCAGAUGGACCUGCGUUGUAUUAGCUAGUUGGUGAGGUAACGGCUCACCAAGGCGACGAUACAUAGCCGAACUGAGAGGACGAUCGGCCAGACUGGGACGGAGACACGGCACAGACUCCUUCGGGAAGCAGCCGUAGGGAAUCUUCGGCAAUGGGGGGAAACCUGACCGAGCAACGCCGCGGGAGGGAAGAAGGUUGUCGGAUCGGAAAGCUCGGUUGUCAGGGAAGAACGGGUGUGAGAGUGGAAAGUUCACACUGUGACGGUAUCUGAUCAGAAAGGGACGGCUAACUACGUG